RNAcentral lists this ribosomal RNA (462 nucleotides) under Streptococcus cristatus. RNAcentral's name for it is "bacterial SSU rRNA". It matches the Rfam family "Bacterial small subunit ribosomal RNA", at positions 28 to 474 of the family's 1533-position model. Lineage: Bacteria; Bacillati; Bacillota; Bacilli; Lactobacillales; Streptococcaceae. The record is from RNAcentral.
GACGAACGCUGGCGGCGUGCCUAAUACAUGCUAGUAGAACGCUGAAGGAGGAGCUUGCUCUUCUGGAUGAGUUGCGAACGGGUGAGUAACGCGUAGGUAACCUGCCUGGUAGCGGGGGAUAACUAUUGGAAACGAUAGCUAAUACCGCAUAACAUUGACUAUUGCAUGAUAGUCAAUUGAAAGGUGCAAAUGCACCACUACCAGAUGGACCUGCGUUGUAUUAGCUAGUUGGUGGGGUAACGGCUCACCAAGGCUACGAUACAUAGCCGACCUGAGAGGGUGAUCGGCCACACUGGGACUGAGACACGGCCCAGACUCCUACGGGAGGCAGCAGUAGGGAAUCUUCGGCAAUGGACGGAAGUCUGACCGAGCAACGCCGCGUGAGUGAAGAAGGUUUUCGGAUCGUAAAGCUCUGUUGUAAGAGAAGAACGAGUGUGAGAGUGGAAAGUUCACACGGUGACG